This is a non-coding RNA of Jatropha curcas, 912 nucleotides long. The record is from RefSeq and is a predicted model, not a curated record. NCBI's taxonomy places the organism in Eukaryota, Viridiplantae, Streptophyta, Magnoliopsida, Malpighiales, Euphorbiaceae.
AAAAGAGUGCACUCCUGAAAUUUUGAUAUAGAAGGAGGAAACUUUGGGAUUCUUGGAGAAGCAGGAUAGCAAGAAGAAAAGAGUGCACUCCUGAAAUUUUGAUAUAGAAGGAGGAAACUUUGGGAUUCUUGGAGAAGCAGGAUAGCAAGAAGAAAAGAGUGCACUCCUGAAAUUUUUUGGAUGUUUAGGAUUUUCUUCAGUAAAAAAAAAAAAGCAAAAGACAAAGUAAAAGGCACCUGUUAGAGAAAGAACAUGAUCUUACAUACCAAUAAAGAUGCAGGCUCUGGAAUAUCAGCUUCGGUUGCCAUUUCAUGCAGGACUAGUAGGAACUUUUUCAAGUAUUGAUCUAAGUUCCCAGGUAAACUUAAUAUGUCUAAGUUCUGCUGGAAUCUUUCGUUGCUGCACUUGCCAGACUUUUAAACUUUGAAUAUGUGGAUCAUUAGGUACCUGUAAUAAUCUGCUGAUGGUUAUAUUGCUAAAGUAGACUAGUAAGUGACAAAAUGCCACUUGGUAAUGGUAUAGCUUAUGUGUUGGUGAGUUGUCAAGAUAUGCUAUGGUCCUACUAAUUGACCGACCACAUGACUGGUAACCAAUACAGCUUAUAGUGGAAUUAUACAGUUACGAUGGAUCAAUUAUUCUUAGGCUGAAUUUGAAAUCUUUACAAUGGCAGGAAGAAGCUGCCAGUCUUUCUAACAGUUUUCUUUUUGUCAGGACGUUUUAUAAGUUGUCGUGCGGGGUUCUAACUCCUUUUUCGACUAUAAUUAGUUUGAGAUCAUACUUUUGUUUGACAGUUUUAUGAUCCAAAGAAAGAGUUUCUUUUGUUCCUUACAGAAAGGUAGUACCCUCCACUGUAGAUCAAUGUGUUUGAUCCCCACUGUGAAGACUACGUCUAAGGAAUAAAUUUGUUUUAAU